This is a long non-coding RNA of Spinacia oleracea (spinach), 357 nucleotides long. RefSeq lists it as uncharacterized. The record is from RefSeq and is a predicted model, not a curated record. The transcript is spliced from 2 exons. NCBI's taxonomy places the organism in Eukaryota, Viridiplantae, Streptophyta, Magnoliopsida, Caryophyllales, Amaranthaceae.
CUUCAUAUAAGGCGUGUGAUCUUCUGGGUGUAAAGCCAGUGGAUGAUGUUCAUGUUGGUGAGAUCGUAGAAACGAUGUAUGGGGCGCAAGGGUUACAUGCUUCAUGUUAUUUAGCGUGUGACAAGGAUGAUAUGCGGCAACUCCAGAUUUGCAAAUAGAGAGAGUGCUAGAAUCUGCAAAUUUAGAUGUUUUAAUGCAAUAUGUGGCUUAUUUGCCUUUCUAUUUAAUUUAUUAUUUAUUUUAGCAGCCAAUAAUGGUCAAUAUGUCAAUAUUGAAACAAACGUUGUAAGUUAUGUAGCACGUUCUCAUACAUUGUAACAUACACCAUAUAUAAAUAUAUGAUUUCACUUUUUAAAA